GUGGAUUAGAUACCCUAGUAGUCCACGCUGUAAACGAUGGAUACUAGGUGUGGGAGGUAUCGACCCCUUCCGUGCCGGAGUUAACACAAUAAGUAUCCCACCUGGGGAGUACGGCCGCAAGGUUGAAACUCAAAGGAAUUGACGGGGGCCCGCACAAGCAGUGGAGUAUGUGGUUUAAUUCGAAGCAACGCGAAGAACCUUACCAGGGCUUGACAUCCCGUGCAUAGUGUAGAGAUACAUGAAGUCCUUCGGGACACGGAGACAGGUGGUGCACGGCUGUCGCCAACU
This 288-nucleotide ribosomal RNA is filed under the name uncultured bacterium. RNAcentral's name for it is "partial 16S ribosomal RNA". It matches the Rfam family "Bacterial small subunit ribosomal RNA", at positions 773 to 1060 of the family's 1533-position model. The record is from RNAcentral.